This 76-nucleotide transfer RNA is filed under the name Deltaproteobacteria bacterium. RNAcentral describes it as "tRNA-Trp". It matches the Rfam family "tRNA". Rfam says of the family: Transfer RNA (tRNA) molecules are approximately 80 nucleotides in length. Their secondary structure includes four short double-helical elements and three loops (D, anti-codon, and T loops). The record is from RNAcentral. Lineage: Bacteria; Pseudomonadati; Myxococcota; Myxococcia.
AGGUCAGUAGCUCAGUUGGUAGAGCAUCGGUCUCCAAAACCGAGGGUCGAGGGUUCAAGUCCUUCCUGACCUGCCA